AAAUCAGAUAUGCAUGAAAAGCCACCUUGGUUAAAAAAUUAAAAGGCAUGCACCCCUUACCGAUCAAACAAACUAUACCCAUCUAUUACCCAACAUCUUUCUUAAACCAAUAAUAAUAUAUAAAUAAAAUCUCAAAACCACAUAUACAAACAAAAUCUCAGAAUUCCGAUGACGAAAGUGAGGAAGAUUGUACAAUUAGAUCGUGACAGACGAAAUUAGCAAUUACGGCUACCGUUACCGAGAUAACUUGCGGAAUUUGAAGUUCUUGAGACUUAUGUCACGUCGUGUUCUUUGGUGAAGACAUGACGGUUCAUCGGUUGGGUUCAGGCAGGGCCAUCAAUUUGGUAUUAGAGCAAAGGUCACCCACCAAGAACGAAUCAAGAAGGAUAACAUGAUUAGGAAGUGAGUGAUUUCGAUUACUGAUCAAAUCGGAAAAAGGAAAAGAACCAGACUAUGAUUUAUUAUUGAAAUCGGCAUGUGUUUUCUGUUGUAUUUAAAGAAUUGCAUAAAUUGCGAAUAUGAAGAAGACAGGCGAAACGGAAUUCGAACGGGUGUUAAUCAAACGGAGAAGAAGCAUAGGAAACAUCGCAGAGGGGACCAGCGACAAGAAAUAAGAAUGAAGAAGAAUUUGAACCGCCGAUUGCAAAAGGUUUGAGCAUUCGCUUGAGGCCGGCGGCAGAAAAAUCACAAAGUGAUUGGAGGAGAGAACCGGCAAGGAAGAAAUAGAAUGAUGCGUUUGUGAAUCAAAAGUUUGACCAAAAUUCAAAACUAAAGAAAGGUGUUUAAAUAGUAUUCAAACACAAUCACGUUCAGUCAAAAUUAGAAUUAUAUUUUUUACUCGAAACUUAAAAUCCGUUUUGAGGUCUUUUUUGUAUAAAAAAGGCUUCUUAAAUCCUUUUGUCUUUUCAGUUAGUGUAAUUUCGCUUAGGUUUUGUUAAUUAGUAGAUAUCUGCAUUUAGAAUUGUUC
Long non-coding RNA from Helianthus annuus (common sunflower), 967 nucleotides. RefSeq lists it as uncharacterized. The transcript is spliced from 2 exons. NCBI's taxonomy places the organism in Eukaryota, Viridiplantae, Streptophyta, Magnoliopsida, Asterales, Asteraceae. The record is from RefSeq and is a predicted model, not a curated record.